GGUUAAGUUAGAAAGGGCGCACGGUGGAUGCCUUGACACUAGGAGUCGAUGAAGGACGGGACUAACGCCGAUAUGCUUCGGGGAGCUGUAAGUAAGCUUUGAUCCGAAGAUUUCCGAAUGGGGAAACCCACCAUACGUAAUGGUAUGGUAUCCUUAUCUGAAUACAUAGGGUAAGGAAGACAGACCCAGGGAACUGAAACAUCUAAGUACCUGGAGGAAGAGAAAGCAAAUGCGAUUUCCUGAGUAGCGGCGAGCGAAACGGAACAUAGCCCAAACCAAGAGGCUUGCCUCUUGGGGUUGUAGGACAUUCUAUACGGAGUUACAAAGGAACGAGGUAGACGAAGCGACCUGGAAAGGUCCGUCGUAGAGGGUAACAACCCCGUAGUCGAAACUUCGUUCUCUCUUGAAUGUAUCCUGAGUACGGCGGAACACGUGAAAUUCCGUCGGAAUCUGGGAGGACCAUCUCCCAAGGCUAAAUACUCCCUAGUGAUCGAUAGUGAACCAGUACCGUGAGGGAAAGGUGAAAAGCACCCCGGAAGGGGAGUGAAAGAGAUCCUGAAACCGUGUGCCUACAAAUAGUCAGAGCCCGUUAACGGGUGAUGGCGUGCCUUUUGUAGAAUGAACCGGCGAGUUACGAUCCCGUGCGAGGUUAAGCUGAAGAGGCGGAGCCGCAGCGAAAGCGAGUCUGAAUAGGGCGUUUAGUACGUGGUCGUAGACCCGAAACCAGGUGAUCUACCCAUGUCCAGGGUGAAGUUCAGGUAACACUGAAUGGAGGCCCGAACCCACGCACGUUGAAAAGUGCGGGGAUGAGGUGUGGGUAGCGGAGAAAUUCCAAUCGAACCUGGAGAUAGCUGGUUCUCCCCGAAAUAGCUUUAGGGCUAGCCUUAAGUGUAAGAGUCUUGGAGGUAGAGCACUGAUUGGACUAGGGGUCCUCAUCGGAUUACCGAAUUCAGUCAAACUCCGAAUGCCAAUGACUUAUCCUUAGGAGUCAGACUGCGAGUGAUAAGAUCCGUAGUCAAAGGGAAACAGCCCAGACCGCCAGCUAAGGUCCCAAAGUGUGUAUUAAGUGGAAAAGGAUGUGGAGUUGCUUAGACAACUAGGAUGUUGGCUUAGAAGCAGCCACCAUUUAAAGAGUGCGUAAUAGCUCACUAGUCGAGUGACUCUGCGCCGAAAAUGUACCGGGGCUAAAUACACCACCGAAGCUGCGGAUUGAUACCAAUGGUAUCAGUGGUGGGGAGCGUUCUAAGGACAGUGAAGUCAGACCGGAAGGACUGGUGGAGUGCUUAGAAGUGAGAAUGCCGGUAUGAGUAGCGAAAGACGGGUGAGAAUCCCGUCCACCGAAUGCCUAAGGUUUCCUGAGGAAGGCUCGUCCGCUCAGGGUUAGUCAGGACCUAAGCCGAGGCCGACAGGCGUAGGCGAUGGACAACAGGUUGAUAUUCCUGUACCACCUCUUUAUCGUUUGAGCAAUGGAGGGACGCAGAAGGAUAGAAGAAGCGUGCGAUUGGUUGUGCACGUCCAAGCAGUUAGGCUGAUAAGUAGGCAAAUCCGCUUAUCAUAAAGGCUGAGCUGUGGUGGGAUAGCUCCUUAUGGAGCGAAGUCUUUGAUUCCCCGCUGCCAAGAAAAGCUUCUAGCGAGAUAAAAGGUGCCUGUACCGCAAACCGACACAGGUAGGCGAGGAGAGAAUCCUAAGGUGUGCGAGAGAACUCUGGUUAAGGAACUCGGCAAAAUGACCCCGUAACUUCGGGAGAAGGGGUGCUUUCUUAACGGAAAGCCGCAGUGAAUAGGCCCAAGCGACUGUUUAGCAAAAACACAGCUCUCUGCGAAGCCGUAAGGCGAAGUAUAGGGGGUGACACCUGCCCGGUGCUGGAAGGUUAAGGAGAGGGGUUAGCGUAAGCGAAGCUCUGAACUGAAGCCCCAGUAAACGGCGGCCGUAACUAUAACGGUCCUAAGGUAGCGAAAUUCCUUGUCGGGUAAGUUCCGACCCGCACGAAAGGUGUAACGAUUUGGGCACUGUCUCAACCAGAGACUCGGUGAAAUUAUAGUACCUGUGAAGAUGCAGGUUACCCGCGACAGGACGGAAAGACCCCGUGGAGCUUUACUGUAGCCUGAUAUUGAAUUUUGGUACAGUUUGUACAGGAUAGGCGGGAGCCUUUGAAACCGGAGCGCUAGCUUCGGUGGAGGCGCUGGUGGGAUACCGCCCUGACUGUAUUGAAAUUCUAACCUACGGGUCUUAUCGACCCGGGAGACAGUGUCAGGUGGGCAGUUUGACUGGGGCGGUCGCCUCCUAAAGUGUAACGGAGGCGCCCAAAGGUUCCCUCAGAAUGGUUGGAAAUCAUUCGUAGAGUGCAAAGGCAUAAGGGAGCUUGACUGCGAGACCUACAAGUCGAGCAGGGACGAAAGUCGGGCUUAGUGAUCCGGUGGUUCCGCAUGGAAGGGCCAUCGCUCAACGGAUAAAAGCUACCCCGGGGAUAACAGGCUUAUCUCCCCAAGAGUCCACAUCGACGGGGAGGUUUGGCACCUCGAUGUCGGCUCAUCGCAUCCUGGGGCUGUAGUCGGUCCCAAGGGUUGGGCUGUUCGCCCAUUAAAGCGGUACGCGAGCUGGGUUCAGAACGUCGUGAGACAGUUCGGUCCCUAUCCGUCGUGGGCGUAGGAAAUUUGAGAGGAGCUGUCCUUAGUACGAGAGGACCGGGAUGGACGCACCGCUGGUGUACCAGUUGUUCUGCCAAGGGCAUAGCUGGGUAGCUAUGUGCGGAAGGGAUAAGUGCUGAAAGCAUCUAAGCAUGAAGCCCCCCUCAAGAUGAGAUUUCCCAUAGCGUAAGCUAGUAAGAUCCCUGAAAGAUGAUCAGGUUGAUAGGUUCGAGGUGGAAGCAUGGUGACAUGUGGAGCUGACGAAUACUAAUAGAUCGAGGACUUAACCAU
RNAcentral lists this ribosomal RNA (2919 nucleotides) under Bacillus cereus. RNAcentral describes it as "23S ribosomal RNA". It matches the Rfam family "Bacterial large subunit ribosomal RNA". Lineage: Bacteria; Bacillati; Bacillota; Bacilli; Caryophanales; Bacillaceae. The record is from RNAcentral.